GGAGGGAUCAUUGCGGAACGCGCCCCAGGCGCACCCAGAAACCCUUUGUGAACUUAUACCUUUUGUUGCCUCGGCGCUGCUGGUCUCUAGUAGGCCCCUCACUUCGGUGAGGAAAAGGCACGCCGGCGGCCAAAUCAACUCUGUUUUUACACUGAAACUCUGAGAAAAAACACAAAUGAAUCAAAACUUUCAACAACGGAUCUCUUGGUUCUGGCAUCGAUGAAGAACGCAGCGAAAUGCGAUAAGUAAUGUGAAUUGCAGAAUUCAGUGAAUCAUCGAAUCUUUGAACGCACAUUGCGCCCUCUGGUAUUCCGGAGGGCAUGCCUGUUCGAGCGUCAUUUCAACCCUCAAGCAUUGCUGGGUGUUGGGGCACUGCUUCUAACGAAGCAGGCCCUGAAAUCUAGUGGCGAGCUCGCCAGGACCCCGAGCGCAGUAGUUAAACCCUCGCUCUGGAAGGCCCUGGCGGUGCCCUGCCGUUAAACCCCCAACUUCUGAAAAUUUGACCUCGGAUCAGGUAGGAAUACCCGCUGAACUUAAGCAUAUCA
Molecule: ribosomal RNA, 545 nt
Filed under: Diaporthales sp. BPV127b
Lineage: Eukaryota; Fungi; Ascomycota; Sordariomycetes; Diaporthales
Description: eukaryotic LSU rRNA
Rfam family: 5.8S ribosomal RNA (bases 185-338)
Source: RNAcentral